This 780-nucleotide long non-coding RNA is filed under the name Rattus norvegicus (Norway rat). Its description in RNAcentral is "long non-coding RNA NONRATT005987". The stretch from base 686 to 754 matches the Rfam family "tRNA". The record is from RNAcentral. Lineage: Eukaryota; Metazoa; Chordata; Mammalia; Rodentia; Muridae.
AGCCUUCUUUGAAAGGAUAGAAGAGACUAGAUGCAACACUUGACGAACAAGUGUGGUGUUAUUCCCCAAACCACUAACACCAUCCUUAUAACUCUUGCCUACUGCCCCGUUUCAUAGGUAAGAAAUGAGUAUCCAUGAUCCCAGCACAUAGGAGGCUGAGGCAGGAUGACCAGGAACUUAAGGCUACAUAGUGAAUUCUAGUCCAGUCAGCACUAUGUAAUAAGACUGAUUUUAAAGAAAAAAGAAAAAAAGGAAGGUCAAGCAGUGGUGCUACACGCCUUUAAUCCCAGCACUCCGGAGGCAGAGGCAGGGGGAUCUCUGUGAGUUCAAGGCCAGCCUGGUCUACAGAGGGAGUUCCAGGACAAACCGGGGUAGCAGAGAGAAACCCUGGCUUGGGAGAUGGGGGGAGGUAAAGACUUACAGAAAGAAGACACAAAGGAAGAGAGAGAAGGAAAAAAUAAACAAGGCUCUAGGCUUAAGCAACUGACCCACAGCUCACAACCCCAUGCCCAGGUCAGCAGCCUCGUCCACGGGAGCCUCAGGACAAAAAGGGGUCAUCUCAGAUGUGCAGGAGUGAGGGUGAAGGAGACAGAAGAGCCAGCCCUAAACAAGUGAUGGACACAGCAUCCCUGCUCUAGAAAGAGGAGCCUAGCUAGGGUGGGGACAAAAGAAGAGGUCAGGGGUUGGGGAUUUAGCUCAGUGGUAGAGCGCUUGCCUAGAAAGCACAAGGCCCUGGGUUCGGUCCCCAGCUCCGAAAAAAAAAAAAAAGAAAAGAAAAGA